UCGAGUUCAGUAGACUUUGGAGCCAGCCCCAGGCUCAGACUUAGCAUGUCUUUUUGGAAGCUCAGUAUCUGAUUAUUAUUAAGAUGUGAGAGGCUCCUGUGAAGCAGAAGCCUUAGGAUUCCUGUCGAAAUGAGACUUGAAGCAGUGAAAGGAAGGAAAACUGAAUCUGCUGGGCGGCAUCCUGCCCUACACUCAGGAAACUCAACACUGCUUCAGGAACAGAGGGCAGAUAUGGAAGGGAUGUGCUCAGGUGACUGGAGAUAUUUCAGCAUGAUAUCACGUAGCCUGCAGUUCCCAGUGCAAGCAGCACACAGGAACUUGCUUUUUUCUGGGAUCUCAGUUAGGGGUGUUAAAGUGCUUUAUCUGCAGGAAUCUGUGUCUGCCAUGUCCCAGAUAAAUGCUGGGAGAGGAGCAGAGCACUGUGCUCACAGGCUGCCCCAUCAUCUGUUUUGUUAAUGGCUCCAUCGCUUGCCCGCCUGGAGAAGGUGAUGCUCACCAUGCAUCAGGAGGACAGCUGAACGUGACUUACAGGCUUGGGUGCCAGAGGAGAACCAUUCCCACUUCCUAACAGAGCCCCAGGAGAGAAAACACUCAGCUCUUCCACUUCCACUUGUGAGUGAAAAAAGCAACAUGGAACUUUGUUGAUUGCUCACAAUAAUUGUCACUGGCAAGGGCAAGAAUAGGACAAGUGGGGAGUGAUACUUUUUCAGUGCACCCUCCCCAUCGAGAUGCUCAGGACUCCCCAGGACAGAGGCACUUCUUAGUUUUUCUAGUCUUCUAGGCAUUUAAUACUUCCUUUUCCACUAAAUGUCACCGAGGAAGCUUCACCUUCACAAUCCUGCAAGUGUUUUGGAGUCGUGGUUCACACUGGGUGACAUGUGAUGUCUUUUAUCCAACGCAAGACUAAAAUAGCAGAUGAGAAGAGUGUUUUCCUUGCCGGGGCUGUCCAGGAGCCCUUUCACAUCUGAGGGGUUGGGGUUUGGGGCGAAGGAUGGCUGCCAUGCCUGGCAGAGGACAAGCUGGUAAAUGAAUUUCAGACUAAUGGAGGUGGGUGUUAAAUAUUUGCUGUACUUGAGCAGGACGGCCUUUGUCACUAAUUACCAGGAGAUGUUAAAGGAGAUGGGAUGUAUUUAAACCUCAUUGUUUGCCACUAAAGCACAGACUCUCUUACUUCUUUUCUGGCCUAAGCAGCUAAUACAUUUCAAGCAAUAGCAGAAGGGCUUGGUGGAUUAAUUACUUUCCUUGGAAAUAAAAAGUGAUUUAAUUUAGUGCA
This 1273-nucleotide long non-coding RNA is filed under the name Lepidothrix coronata (blue-crowned manakin). RNAcentral's name for it is "lncRNA (ENSLCOG00000012136.1)". The record is from RNAcentral. Lineage: Eukaryota; Metazoa; Chordata; Aves; Passeriformes; Pipridae.